RNAcentral lists this ribosomal RNA (479 nucleotides) under uncultured bacterium. Its description in RNAcentral is "partial 16S ribosomal RNA". It matches the Rfam family "Bacterial small subunit ribosomal RNA", at positions 28 to 523 of the family's 1533-position model. The record is from RNAcentral.
GACGAACGCUGGCGGCGUGCUUAACACAUGCAAGUCGAGCGAUGAAGCACCUUCGGGUGUGAAUUAGCGGCGAACGGGUGAGGAACACGUGAGAAAUCUGCCUUCAACACUGGGAUAACUCCGGGAAACCGGGGCUAAUACAGGAUAUGAAACCUGCGGGCAUCCGCGGGCUUGGAAAGUUUUUCGGUUGAAGAGGAUCUCGCGGCCUAUCGGCUCGUUGGUGAGGUAAUGGCUCACCAAGGCGACGACGGGUAGCCGGCCUGAGAGGGCGACCGGCCACACUGGGACUGAGACACGGCCCAGACUCCUACGGGAGGCAGCAGUGGGGAAUAUUGGGCAAUGGAGGAAACUCUGACCCAGCGACGCCGCGUGCGGGAUGAAGGCCUUCGGGUUGUAAACCUCUUUUAGCACCGACGAAGCGCAAGUGACGGUAGGUGCAGAAGAAGGACCGGCCAACUACGUGCCAGCCGCCGCCGUAA